ACGAACGCUGGCGGCGUGCUUAACACAUGCAAGUCGAACGGAAAGGCCCUGCUUUUGUGGGGUGCUCGAGUGGCGAACGGGUGAGUAACACGUGAGUAACCUGCCCUUGACUUUGGGAUAACUUCAGGAAACUGGGGCUAAUACCGGAUAGGAGCUCCUGCUGCAUGGUGGGGGUUGGAAAGUUUCGGCGGUUGGGGAUGGACUCGCGGCUUAUCAGCUUGUUGGUGGGGUAGUGGCUUACCAAGGCUUUGACGGGUAGCCGGCCUGAGAGGGUGACCGGCCACAUUGGGACUGAGAUACGGCCCAGACUCUUACGGGAGGCAGCAGUGGGGAAUAUUGCACAAUGGGCGGACGCCUGAUGCAGCAACGCCGCGUGCGGGAUGACGGCCUUCGGGUUGUAAACCGCUUUCGCCUGUGACGAAGCGUGAGUGACGGUAAUGGGUAAAGAAGCACCGGCUAACUACGUG
RNAcentral lists this ribosomal RNA (467 nucleotides) under uncultured bacterium. Its description in RNAcentral is "partial 16S ribosomal RNA". It matches the Rfam family "Bacterial small subunit ribosomal RNA", at positions 29 to 507 of the family's 1533-position model. The record is from RNAcentral.